CUAAGUUUGAUGGCGACCGGCGCACGGGUGAGUAACACGUAUCCAACCUGCCGAUGACUCGGGGAUAGCCUUUCGAAAGAAAGAUUAAUACCCGAUGGCAUAGUUCUUCCGCAUGGUGGAACUAUUAAAGAAUUUCGGUCAUCGAUGGGGAUGCGUUCCAUUAGGUUGUUGGCGGGGUAACGGCCCACCAAGCCUUCGAUGGAUAGGGGGUUCUGAGAGGAAGGUCCCCCACAUUGGAACUGAGACACGGUCCAAACUCCUACGGGAGGCAGCAUG
RNAcentral lists this ribosomal RNA (276 nucleotides) under uncultured bacterium. Its description in RNAcentral is "partial 16S ribosomal RNA". It matches the Rfam family "Bacterial small subunit ribosomal RNA", at positions 79 to 353 of the family's 1533-position model. The record is from RNAcentral.